Molecule: ribosomal RNA, 430 nt
Filed under: Argynnis mormonia
Lineage: Eukaryota; Metazoa; Arthropoda; Insecta; Lepidoptera; Nymphalidae
Description: Speyeria mormonia partial small subunit ribosomal RNA
Source: RNAcentral
ACAUUCUAGAAACACUUUCCAGUACCUCUACUUUGUUACGACUUAUUUCAAUUUCAAAUGAAAGUGACGGGCAAUAUGUACAUAUUUUAAUUAUAAAUCAUUUUAAUAAACUAAUUAAAAUUACAUUUAAAUCCACCUUCAAUUAUAAUUUCAAAAUCUUAUUCAUUUAAAUAUAUUUAUUGUAAUCCAUCACAAACUUAAUUAUAUUCUGCAUCUUGAUCUGAAUUAAUUUUUAAUUUAAAUUUUUAAAUAUUAUUUUUAUUUUAAAAUAUUUUUUUUACAAUGAUAUACAAAAUUUUAAAUUAAGUAAAUUUAUUCGUGGAUUAUCAAUUACUAGACAGAUUCCUCUAAAUGAACUAAAAUACCGCCAUAUUAUUUAAGUUUCAAUAUAAAUUAUUUACUAUUUUAGUAUUUAAAUUUCAAAUUUUUA